CAGCCGGGCAUCCAGGACCCGCGGCGGGGCAUGGUGGUCUGGGUGGUGCCCGAGACCCUCGAGGUGGUCGUGACCCUGUACCGGGACCCCCAGGCCGCCGCCUUCGAUGACAAAACCUGGAACUUCCUCGUGGUCAACGAGUCGCGGGGCCGGCGCUCGGUGGUGGCCGCGGCCCCGCUGGAGCUGGGGCGCCUGGCGGGCGUUGGGGACACCGC
Long non-coding RNA from Melozone crissalis (California towhee), 215 nucleotides. RefSeq lists it as uncharacterized. NCBI's taxonomy places the organism in Eukaryota, Metazoa, Chordata, Aves, Passeriformes, Passerellidae. The record is from RefSeq and is a predicted model, not a curated record. The transcript is spliced from 3 exons.